UACAGAGGGUGCGAGCGUAAUCGGAAUUACUGGGCGUAAAGCGUGCGUAGACGGUAGCGUAAGUCAGAUGUGAAAGCCCCGGGCUCAACCUGGGAACUGCAUUUGAGACUGCUCUGCUCGGGUGCGGAAGAGGGAAGCGGAAUUUCCGGUGUAGCGGUGAAAUGCGUAGAUAUCGGAAGGAACACCAGUGGCGAAAGCGGCUUCCUGGUCCGACGCCGACGUUCAGGCACGAAAGCGUGGGGAGCAAACAGG
This 252-nucleotide ribosomal RNA is filed under the name uncultured bacterium. RNAcentral describes it as "partial 16S ribosomal RNA". It matches the Rfam family "Bacterial small subunit ribosomal RNA", at positions 524 to 776 of the family's 1533-position model. The record is from RNAcentral.